AAUACUGUUGUUUCCAGUUUAGAGAAGAGGAAGCUGAGGCUUAGGGGGCUGAAGUAACUUGAUCAAGUCCAGGCAAUGUGUAAAUGGUAGAGUCAGGAUUCGAACCUCUGACUGACUCAGAGACUGUGCACUUUCCACUAUAACAGAGGGUCCAUGCAGGGAAGUAGGAAAAAAAAGGGUCUGUGGUCUCUUCUGGUCAUGUGCAGCCUUGGGUGGGAGGGUGGUGGCUGUGGUUGCAGGGUCAGGCAACGGAACUCCAGGUUUUCUGUGCUGGCCUGGGUCCAGGAUGACUGGGCCUCUGCCUCUCCACCCCCGUCCUAGUGGAAGAGCUACUGGCCUCUAGGGUGGGAGGCAGGGGAAGGCAGGAUGGCGGGAGAUUCUGGAAAGAAAUUCAAGAUACCGCCUUGGUGGUAGGUUGUCUUUACCAAGACGACCUCGAGCCUUGCUUGCCUCUUUGCAAAAGCCCGCCCUGACUCCCCCUUCCCCACAUCUCUGACCUCCCCUUGGGUCCAUGCAGGCUCAGUCUGCACACGGCUUGUUCUGCACUUGUUCUUUGUUGCUGUGAAACAGGCUCCCGGCACAGUCAGCCUCUGUGUGGGAGGACUGGUGGCUGUCUUCGCAGGCAGGCAUUUGUUCAGAGCAGACUGCGUAUGAGCCCGGCGUCAAGUAUUUCCGGCCUCCUCAAGUCGGCGGUGGUGGGAUGAGGCACUGCUGAGGGGACUGGCUGUGAAGGAUGAGUUCAGGGGGGGAUGACGGACCGCUUCUGGGACCAGUGGUAUCUCUGGUAUCUCCGCUUGCUCCGGCUGCUGGAUCGAGAGUUACCUCUAUCCCAUUUGGUGUCAAAGUUAACAUCUGCUCGUCACCAAGUGGACCCCUGGAGGCCUCUCUUGCUCUACCUCCCAACCUCCAACCCCCCGCCCAACUGGGGAAGUGACAGAUGGAAGAUCAAGUGGCAGAUGGAAGAUCAGAUUUCAGAAAUUGGGAGCUUCAUUCUGAUCUGCAACAGUUCAGACAGGAGUGGAGACUGGCUGGUGUGUGGACAAAUAUAUUCUGUUGACCUGCUGCCCUGAGCUGGGGACAAUACUGGGAAUUUCUUUUAUGGAAAAGAAAAAACAGUGGUGGUUUUUCCUUGGGCAUGUAGGGGACGAUGAAUCAGCAAAUUAUUUGGUAAUUAAAUAACAGACAUUUACUAAAAGUCAUCUCAGGGGAAGGCAUAAUUGAUGUGGUUUGAAAAGUGCUAAGAAAGUGCUCCCUGCCCAAGGCCUCACUGAGUCUGGAAGUGCCUUGGUGCCUAGAAUAGUUCAUUCAUCUCUUUGGGCUAAUGACACUUGGUAGAUCUUUUUAUGAGUGCUAGAAUAAUGCAUUCAACACCCUUGUGUUAAUUUAAGAUUCCUUGGCUGCCGAAGGAGUACAGGAGCAUCAAGGCAGAGUGUGUGUGUAAUGGGGUGGGUGGUGUCUAGAGUGAAUGGAAUGACUCAGACUUGGUAGGAGAUAUUCUAAGAUGAUUUCCUGGAGGAAAGAAGUACCUAACUUGGUAUGGUGGUAGAGAGGGUUGUUGGCAACAUUCUUUCAGAAACUGGAUUGGGGCACUCAUUAUUUUAUUGAGCAUCAGUUUUUCGUUUCUCAGAUAAUGGAAUUAGCUCUAGUAGUACAUGGUGCAAAGCCAUUAUUAACUUAUAAGCCUUUUAAAUUACAUUCUAGAAGCCUUUUUUGCUUUGCCGUAGUAAAUCUUUCUCACAGUACUGGGGAUUUAAACAUUUUAGAAACGACGUUUAAUUAAUGUAAAAGGUAAAAUCCCUUUGAGUUUCAAGAUGUCCUGGGAAUCCAUUCAUUUCCCCUCUACCCCAGACCCAUCCUGUUUCCUCUCAAGUACCAUCCAGGGUUGGCCUGUGGUAAAUGGGAGGGCAGAGGAAAGUGCCUUCCAUGAGGGUGAGUGCUGAACUUACUGGGCCCAUGAAACAUUCCACGGGGAUGCAGGACCCACUUUCAUCAGUGCCAGGAGCGCCGUUUCAGAGAGGCUGAGUGGUCAGUCUCUCUUCUGGGGGGACAGGGCAGAGGGACCACAGAUGGCAGACGGCUCUGGCUGCCACCUGAUGGGGGUUGUAAUUGAGGCUGAGGGCAUGGGGGAAGCCUACACUGUGUUCCCUAUGAAGGAAACAGGGAAGGCUUAUCUUAGAGUCUAGGGACUCUUAACAACUGAGGGAGGAUUCUCCCCUCUUGAACAGACCUUCUGUCUAUGGGGGAGUUUCUUUAGGAGACUAUAAUGAUGUGUCCAAAUGUGAGUAGUUUAAAAGUGCAAUACACACAUACAUACACAGAAACCCACUGAUGCAGGCCCUGGAUAUUACAUCUGUACAUGGGAGGAAUGGGAAACAUUCACUUAGGCAACAUGCGAAUUAGUCAGGAGUGGAACCUA
Molecule: long non-coding RNA, 2416 nt
Filed under: Dasypus novemcinctus (nine-banded armadillo)
Lineage: Eukaryota; Metazoa; Chordata; Mammalia; Cingulata; Dasypodidae
Description: lncRNA (ENSDNOG00000051563.1)
Source: RNAcentral